Molecule: ribosomal RNA, 497 nt
Filed under: uncultured bacterium
Lineage: Bacteria
Description: partial 16S ribosomal RNA
Rfam family: Bacterial small subunit ribosomal RNA
Source: RNAcentral
GAUGAACGCUGGCGGCGUGCCUAAUACAUGCAAGUCGAGCGAACAGACGAGGAGCUUGCUCCUCUGACGUUAGCGGCGGACGGGUGAGUAACACGUGGAUAACCUACCUAUAAGACUGGGAUAACUUCGGGAAACCGGAGCUAAUACCGGAUAAUAUAUUGAACCGCAUGGUUCAAUAGUGAAAGACGGUUUUGCUGUCACUUAUAGAUGGAUCCGCGCCGCAUUAGCUAGUUGGUAAAGUAACGGCUUACCAAGGCAACGAUGCGUAGCCGACCUGAGAGGGUGAUCGGCCACACUGGAACUGAGACACGGUCCAGACUCCUACGGGAGGCAGCAGUAGGGAAUCUUCCGCAAUGGGCGAAAGCCUGACGGAGCAACGCCGCGUGAAUGAUGAAGGUCUUCGGAUCGUAAAACUCUGUUAUUAGGAAAGAACAAUUGUGUAAGUAACUAUGCACGUCUUGACGGUACCUAAUCAGAAAGCCACGGCUAACUACGUG